Molecule: small RNA, 95 nt
Filed under: Serratia sp. (in: enterobacteria)
Lineage: Bacteria; Pseudomonadati; Pseudomonadota; Gammaproteobacteria; Enterobacterales; Yersiniaceae
Also listed under: 1 other name
Description: Serratia sp. Guanidine-I sequence
Rfam family: Guanidine-I riboswitch aptamer
About the family: This family represents a conserved RNA structure found upstream of the ykkC and yxkD genes in Bacillus subtilis and related genes in other bacteria. The function of this family is unclear although it has been suggested that it may function to switch on efflux pumps and detoxification systems in response to harmful environmental molecules. Nelson showed that this riboswitch senses and responds to guanidine and it was renamed Guanidine-I riboswitch.
Source: RNAcentral
GUAAUGGGUUACUAGGGUUCCGGUUUAACGACGCAGGUCCGAGAGUAACCGACCGCCCUCUGGCGGUUACACGGCGGGAUAAAAGCCCGGGAGGA